GAUGAACGCUAGCUACAGGCUUAACACAUGCAAGUCGAGGGGAAACGACAUCGAAAGCUUGCUUUUGAUGGGCGUCGACCGGCGCACGGGUGAGUAACGCGUAUCCAACCUGCCCAUCACUUGGGAAUAACCUUGCGAAAGUAAGACUAAUACCCAAUGAUAUCCCACGAAGGCAUCGGAAUGGGAUUAAAGAUUUAUCGGUGAUGGAUGGGGAUGCGUCUGAUUAGCUUGUUGGCGGGGUAACGGCCCACCAAGGCAACGAUCAGUAGGGGUUCUGAGAGGAAGGUCCCUCACAGUGGAACUGGGACACGGUCCAAACUGCUACGGGAGGCAGCAGUGAGGAAUAUUGGACAAUGGGCGAGAGCCUGAAACAGCCAAGUAGCGUGCAGGAAGACGGCCCUAUGGGUUGUAAACUGCUUUUAGAAGGGAAUAAAGUGGGUCACGUGUGACUUUUUGCAGGUACCUUAUGAAUAAGGACCGGCUAAGUACGUG
This 492-nucleotide ribosomal RNA is filed under the name uncultured bacterium. RNAcentral's name for it is "partial 16S ribosomal RNA". It matches the Rfam family "Bacterial small subunit ribosomal RNA", at positions 28 to 507 of the family's 1533-position model. The record is from RNAcentral.